AUUGAUUACAUUGUGAUGGAUAUUGUGUCACGAAAAAAAGUGAGCUAACCGCAUAUUUAUCUAGUAAUAGUAGACGUGGUAUAGUAUAUGAAAUAUCCGGUUAGGGGUGAUAGGCUUUUCAAACUUUUUGAUAACUUGUUGCAUGCGAAAUGUAUUAAGUACAAAGACAUAUUUAAAAAGUUAAGCUUUUAAAUAUAUAUUAAAAAUAUUAUUAAUUAUUAACACAGAAUAAUUCCUAGUUGCUAAUAUAGUACUAUAUUAAGCUUGUAUAUAUUGUAUAGAUUAGCGUGCCAGUUGCGCUUGCGCAGAACUUGAUAAUGUUAAUAUUAGUAGUAUUUUAAAGUGUAUUAGAGGAACUCGGCAAAUUUAUCGCUCAACUGUUUAUCAAAAACAUAGCUACAUGAUUUAAUAUGUAGUUAUUUCUGCUCCAUGAAUAAUAAAUAGCCGCAGUACUCUGACUGUGCAAAGGUAGCAUAAUCAGUUGGCUUUUAAUUAGAGUCUGGAAUGAACGAAAUCAUGGGUGAUAACUAUCUUUAGUAUAUUUUAUUGAACUUAAUAAGUAAGUGAAAAUGCUUACAUUAUAACAAAAGACGAGAAGACCCUAGAAACUUAAAUUGUUUUUUGUUGGGGCGACAGAAUUACAUUUAACUAGUUUUAUAGGACGAGCCGUGUGAAUGAAAGAAUAAGUUACUCUAGGGAUAACAGCAUAAUUUUUUUAGUUUGUGACCUCGAUGUUGGACUAGGUAUUAUAUCCUUAAGGCAAGGAUAUAAAAUGCUCUGUUCGAGCAAGUUAACCUACAU
Molecule: ribosomal RNA, 801 nt
Filed under: Helix kazouiniana
Lineage: Eukaryota; Metazoa; Mollusca; Gastropoda; Stylommatophora; Helicidae
Description: partial 16S ribosomal RNA
Source: RNAcentral